Molecule: ribosomal RNA, 425 nt
Filed under: uncultured bacterium
Lineage: Bacteria
Description: partial 16S ribosomal RNA
Rfam family: Bacterial small subunit ribosomal RNA
Source: RNAcentral
GUGGGGAAUCUUGCGCAAUGGGCGAAAGCCUGACGCAGCCAUGCCGCGUGAAUGAUGAAGGUCUUAGGAUUGUAAAAUUCUUUCACCGGGGACGAUAAUGACGGUACCCGGAGAAGAAGCUCCGGCUAACUUCGUGCCAGCAGCCGCGGUAAUACGAAGGGGGCUAGCGUUGCUCGGAAUUACUGGGCGUAAAGGGCGCGUAGGCGGACAGCUUAGUCAGAGGUGAAAGCCCAGGGCUCAACCUUGGAAUUGCCUUUGAUACUGGCUGUCUUGAGUUUGGGAGAGGUGAGUGGAACUCCGGGUGUAGAGGUGAAAUUCGUAGAUAUUCGGAAGAACACCAGUGGCGAAGGCGACUCACUGGCCCGUUACUGACGCUGAGGCGCGAAAGCGUGGGGAGCAAACAGGAUUAGAUACCCUGGUAGUCC